RNAcentral lists this ribosomal RNA (1701 nucleotides) under Triticum aestivum (bread wheat). Its description in RNAcentral is "partial small subunit ribosomal RNA". Lineage: Eukaryota; Viridiplantae; Streptophyta; Magnoliopsida; Poales; Poaceae. The record is from RNAcentral.
AUGUCUACCUGCCUCACGGAUAUGAUUAAUGCCAAUGAGAUUGAUUUUAUUUGUCUUCAAGAAACUAUAAAAGAGACAUAUAAGCUAUCCUUUUUUAGGAAGCUUGACCCGAACAAAAAAUUUCAUUGGGAGUGGAUUCCUUCUAGGGGAAAAUCUGGAGGAAUUCUUUGUGGGCUUAGUAAAGAUAAUUUUGAUAUCCUUACAACUAAACAUGGUAAGUACAUCCUGCAGUUAGAUCUGUUUGAUAAAGUCAAGAAUUGUAGGUGGUCUUUGUUGAUUGUUUAUGGUGCUGCUCAUGAUGAACAUAAACCUGAGUUCAUCACGGAGUUGUCUUCUAUGUGCCAUAAUACUAACAUGCCUUAUCUGGUGGGGGGAGAUUUUAAUAUCAUUAGACACAGUGGGGAGAAGAAUAAAAAAACAGACAUUUCACACUUCUCUAACGUGUUUAAUUCUGUCAUACACCUGCUUGGGUUGAGAGAAAUUCACAUGACAGGUGGUUGUUAUACCUGGUCUAAUAAACAAGAAAACCCAACUUUGGAAAAAUUGGAUAGGGUCCUGAUGUCCCUUGAUUGGGAGGAUUUAUACCCCCUUGCAUCAGUAAAUAAGUUAGUCAAAGAGAAUUCUGACCAUAACCCCUUACUGUUGGAUGGUGGGGGAGCCUCAUCUAGAGCACCAGGUAACAGGUGCUUCAGAUUUGAUAACACUUGGCUUAAGAAUCCAGAUUUCCUUCCCCUAGUAUCUGAGAUCUGGUCAAGGCUAGUUUACACUAUCAAUCCCAUCGACUCUUUGAACAUUAAGCUGAAGAGGUUUAAAAAAUUCUUCAAAGGGUGGGGGUCCAAUUUGUUUGGUCAUAACAAAAUUAGAAAGAGGAUUAUUAAGCUUGAACUUCAGGAAUUGGAAAAACUGGAGGAGGAGGUUGGACUUUGUGGGGAAGCCUACACUAGGAAGCUUGCUAUCCUGGUAGAACUUAAUGAGAUGUAUGUAGAAGAGGAGCUGCAUUGGCACCAAUUUUCUAAUGAGAGGUGGCUUUUGCAAGGGGACAAUAACACUGAUUUCUUCCACAAGGUAGCUAACGGGCGUCGUAGAAAAAAUUCCAUGAUUUCCCUCGAAUGUGGAUCUGUGACCAUAGAAGGUACCAAGAACUUAUUAGCCCAUGCCACGGAAUAUUACAGAAACCUUUUUGGACCGGCCCCUGGCAAUCUUUGUCAAAUAGAUGCAACAUUAUGGUCUCGGGAGGAAAAUAUCUCUCUUGAAGAUAAUGAUGACUUGACUCGUCCUUUCUCUCUUGAGGAGAUCAAAAAGGCUUUGUUUGAUAUGAAAUCUAACCGAGCCCCUGGACCGGAUGACAUCCCUGUUGAGUUCUAUCAACAUUGCUGGGAAAUUAUCUCUCCGGAUCUGAUGCGCUUGUUUGAGUGGUUCUAUGAGGGCAAGUUAGAUGUGCAGAGGCUGAACUAUGGCAUUAUAACUCUACUACCUAAAUCAUCAGACGCCAAUAGAAUUCAGCAAUAUAGGCCCAUUUGUUUGUUACGUUGUCCCUACAAAUUACUCACCAAAGCCAUGGAUAUUAGGGCUAGCAAAUACGCGCACAAGUUGUUCAGUAUACAACAAAAUGCUUUCAUUAAAGGGCGGCAUAUAGUUGACGGCAUACUAUCCUUGCAUGAGGUGCUGCACUAUACUCAUAUUAAAAAGCAAGUGGGGUAA